This 106-nucleotide non-coding RNA is filed under the name Megasphaera cerevisiae. RNAcentral's name for it is "SAM-I sequence". It matches the Rfam family "SAM riboswitch aptamer (S box leader)". Rfam says of the family: The SAM riboswitch is found upstream of a number of genes which code for proteins involved in methionine or cysteine biosynthesis in Gram-positive bacteria. The record is from RNAcentral. RNAcentral also lists the same sequence under 1 other name. Lineage: Bacteria; Bacillati; Bacillota; Negativicutes; Veillonellales; Veillonellaceae.
UAUUCAUCAAGAGUAACAGAGGGACUGGCCCGAUGAAGUUACAGCAACCAUCCAACAGGAAAGGUGCUAAUUCCAGCGUUAUUUUAUAAAUAACGACAGAUGAUCA